AGAGUUUGAUCAUGGCUCAGAUUGAACGCUGGCGGCAGGCCUAACACAUGCAAGUCGAACGGUAACAGGAAGCAGCUUGCUGCUUCGCUGACGAGUGGCGGACGGGUGAGUAAUGUCUGGGAAACUGCCUGAUGGAGGGGGAUAACUACUGGAAACGGUAGCUAAUACCGCAUAAUGUCGCAGGACCAAAGAGGGGGACCUUCGGGCCUCUUGCCAUCAGAUGUGCCCAGAUGGGAUUAGCUUGUUGGUGAGGUAACGGCUCACCAAGGCGACGAUCCCUAGCUGGUCUGAGAGGAUGACCAGCCACACUGGAACUGAGACACGGUCCAGACUCCUACGGGAGGCAGCAGUGGGGAAUAUUGCACAAUGGGCGCAGCCUGAUGCAGCCAUGCCGCGUGUAUGAAGAAGGCCUUCGGGUUGUAAAGUACUUUCAGCGGGGAGGAAGGGGAUAAGGCUAAUAACCUUGUUCAUUGACGUUACCCGCAGAAGAAGCACCGGCUAACUCCGUGCCAGCAGCCGCGGUAAUACGGGAGGGUGCAAGCGUUAAUCGGAAUUACUGGGCGUAAAGCGCACGCAGGCGGUCUGUCAAGUCGGAUGUGAAAUCCCCGGGCUCAACCUGGGAACUGCAUUCGAAACUGGCAGGCUUGAGUCUUGUAGAGGGGGGUAGAAUUCCAGGUGUAGCGGUGAAAUGCGUAGAGAUCUGGAGGAAUACCGGUGGCGAAGGCGGCCCCCUGGACAAAGACUGACGCUCAGGUGCGAAAGCGUGGGGAGCAAACAGGAUUAGAUACCCUGGUAGUCCACGCCGUAAACGAUGUCUACUUGGAGGUUGUGCCCUUGAGGCGUGGCUUCCGGAGCUAACGCGUUAAGUAGACCGCCUGGGGAGUACGGCCGCAAGGUUAAAACUCAAAUGAAUUGACGGGGGCCCGCACAAGCGGUGGAGCAUGUGGUUUAAUUCGAUGCAACGCGAAGAACCUUACCUGGUCUUGACAUCCACAGAACUUUCCAGAGAUGGAUUGGUGCCUUCGGGAACUGUGAGACAGGUGCUGCAUGGCUGUCGUCAGCUCGUGUUGUGAAAUGUUGGGUUAAGUCCCGCAACGAGCGCAACCCUUAUCCUUUGUUGCCAGCGGUCCGGCCGGGAACUCAAAGGAGACUGCCAGUGAUAAACUGGAGGAAGGUGGGGAUGACGUCAAGUCAUCAUGGCCCUUACGACCAGGGCUACACACGUGCUACAAUGGCGCAUACAAAGAGAAGCGACCUCGCGAGAGCAAGCGGACCUCAUAAAGUGCGUCGUAGUCCGGACUGGAGUCUGCAACUCGACUCCAUGAAGUCGGAAUCGCUAGUAAUCGUGGAUCAGAAUGCCACGGUGAAUACGUUCCCGGGCCUUGUACACACCGCCCGUCACACCAUGGGAGUGGGUUGCAAAAGAAGUAGGUAGCUUAACCUUCGGGAGGGCGCUUACCACUUUGUGAUUCAUGACUGGGGUGAAGUCGUAACAAGGUAACCGUAGGGGAACCUGCGGUUGGAUCACCU
This 1530-nucleotide ribosomal RNA is filed under the name Salmonella enterica subsp. arizonae. Its description in RNAcentral is "bacterial SSU rRNA". It matches the Rfam family "Bacterial small subunit ribosomal RNA". Lineage: Bacteria; Pseudomonadati; Pseudomonadota; Gammaproteobacteria; Enterobacterales; Enterobacteriaceae. The record is from RNAcentral.